UUUUCGGAGAGUUUGAUCCUGGCUCAGGACGAACGCUGGCGGCGUGCCUAAUACAUGCAAGUCGAGCGAACAGAAGGGAGCUUGCUCCCGGAUGUUAGCGGCGGACGGGUGAGUAACACGUGGGUAACCUGCCUGUAAGACUGGGAUAACUCCGGGAAACCGGAGCUAAUACCGGAUAGUUCCUUGAACCGCAUGGUUCAAGGAUGAAAGACGGUUUCGGCUGUCACUUACAGAUGGACCCGCGGCGCAUUAGCUAGUUGGUGGGGUAAUGGCUCACCAAGGCGACGAUGCGUAGCCGACCUGAGAGGGUGAUCGGCCACACUGGGACUGAGACACGGCCCAGACUCCUACGGGAGGCAGCAGUAGGGAAUCUUCCGCAAUGGACGAAAGUCUGACGGAGCAACGCCGCGUGAGUGAUGAAGGUUUUCGGAUCGUAAAGCUCUGUUGUUAGGGAAGAACAAGUGCGAGAGUAACUGCUCGCACCUUGACGGUACCUAACCAGAAAGCCACGGCUAACUACGUGCCAGCAGCCGCGGUAAUACGUAGGUGGCAAGCGUUGUCCGGAAUUAUUGGGCGUAAAGGGCUCGCAGGCGGUUUCUUAAGUCUGAUGUGAAAGCCCCCGGCUCAACCGGGGAGGGUCAUUGGAAACUGGGAAACUUGAGUGCAGAAGAGGAGAGUGGAAUUCCACGUGUAGCGGUGAAAUGCGUAGAGAUGUGGAGGAACACCAGUGGCGAAGGCGACUCUCUGGUCUGUAACUGACGC
This 762-nucleotide ribosomal RNA is filed under the name Bacillus pumilus. RNAcentral's name for it is "bacterial SSU rRNA". It matches the Rfam family "Bacterial small subunit ribosomal RNA", at positions 1 to 746 of the family's 1533-position model. The record is from RNAcentral. Lineage: Bacteria; Bacillati; Bacillota; Bacilli; Caryophanales; Bacillaceae.